RNAcentral lists this ribosomal RNA (498 nucleotides) under uncultured bacterium. RNAcentral's name for it is "partial 16S ribosomal RNA". It matches the Rfam family "Bacterial small subunit ribosomal RNA", at positions 28 to 523 of the family's 1533-position model. The record is from RNAcentral.
GAUGAACGCUAGCGGCAGGCUUAAUACAUGCAAGUCGAACGGGAUUGAGAAGCUUGCUUUUCAUGAGAGUGGCGCACGGGUGCGUAACACGUAUGCAACCUACCUUGUCCAGGGGGAUAGCCCGUUGAAAGACGGAUUAAGACCGCAUAACAUUGAGCUGUGGCAUCACAAAUCAAUCAAAUAUUUAUAGGGCCAAGAUGGGCAUGCGCCUGAUUAGGUAGUGGGCGGGGUAAUGGCCCACCAAGCCGACGAUCAGUAGGGGAUCUGAGAGGAUGACCCACCACACUGGUACUGAGACACGGACCCGACUCCUACGGGAGGCAGCAGUAAGGAAUAUUGGUCAAUGGGCGAAAGCCUGAACCAGCCAUGCCGCGUGCAGGAAGACGGCCCUACGGGUUGUAAACUGCUUUUAUACGGGAAUAACCCCGGUUUCGUGAAACCGGCUGAAUGUACCGUAAGAAUAAGGAUCGGCUAACUCCGUGCCAGCAGCCGCCGUAA